AGAGUUUGAUCCUGGCUCAGAACGAACGCUGGCGGCGUGCUUAACACAUGCAAGUCGAACGCGAAAGUUUUCUUCGGAAGACGAGUAGAGUGGCGCACGGGUGAGUAACGCGUAAGUUAUCUACCUCGGCAUCUGGAAUAACCCACCGAAAGGUGUGCUAAUACCGGAUACGUUGAGUAAUCAAGAAAGGUGGCCUCUGAAUAUGCUACUGUGCUGAGAUGAGCUUGCGUACCAUUAGCUAGUUGGUAGGGUAAUGGCCUACCAAGGCAACGAUGGUUAGCGGGUCUGAGAGGAUGAUCCGCCACACUGGAACUGGAACACGGACCAGACUCCUACGGGAGGCAGCAGUGAGGAAUAUUGCGCAAUGGGCGCAAGCCUGAUCCAGCAAUGCCGCGUGCAGGAUGAAGGCCUUCGGGUUGUAAACUGCUUUUGUACGGAACGAAACGGUCUGCUCUAAUAAAGUGGGCUAAUGACGGUACCGUAAGAAUAAGCACCGGCUAACUACGUGCCAGCAGCCGCGGUAAUACGUAGGGUGCGAGCGUUAAUCGGAAUUACUGGGCGUAAAGCGUGCGCAGGCGGUUAUAUAAGACAGAUGUGAAAUCCCCGGGCUCAACCUGGGACCUGCAUUUGUGACUGUAUAGCUAGAGUACGGUAGAGGGGGAUGGAAUUCCGCGUGUAGCAGUGAAAUGCGUAGAUAUUGGGAGGAAGGCCGGUGGCGAAGGCGGCCAUCUGGCGCUGAACUGACGCUGAGGCGCGAAAGCGUGGGGAGCAAACAGGAUUAGAUACCCUGGUAGUCC
This 797-nucleotide ribosomal RNA is filed under the name uncultured bacterium. RNAcentral's name for it is "bacterial SSU rRNA". It matches the Rfam family "Bacterial small subunit ribosomal RNA", at positions 8 to 796 of the family's 1533-position model. The record is from RNAcentral.